RNAcentral lists this ribosomal RNA (492 nucleotides) under uncultured bacterium. Its description in RNAcentral is "partial 16S ribosomal RNA". It matches the Rfam family "Bacterial small subunit ribosomal RNA", at positions 29 to 507 of the family's 1533-position model. The record is from RNAcentral.
AGUGAACGCUGGCGGUAGGCCUAACACAUGCAAGUCGAACGGCAGCACAGUAAGAGCUUGCUCUUACGGGUGGCGAGUGGCGGACGGGUGAGGAAUACAUCGGAAUCUACUUUUUCGUGGGGGAUAACGUAGGGAAACUUACGCUAAUACCGCAUACGACCUACGGGUGAAAGCAGGGGAUCUUCGGACCUUGCGCGAUUGAAUGAGCCGAUGUCGGAUUAGCUAGUUGGCGGGGUAAAGGCCCACCAAGGCGACGAUCCGUAGCUGGUCUGAGAGGAUGAGCAGCCACACUGGAACUGAGACACGGUCCAGGCUCCUACGGGAGGCAGCAGUGGGGAAUAUUGGACACUGGGCGCAAGCCUGAUCCAGCCAUACCGCGUGGGUGAAGAAGGCCUUCGGGUUGUAAAGCCCUUUUGUUGGGAAAGAAAAGCAGCAGGUUAAUACCCCGCUGUUCUGACGGUACCCAAAGAAUAAGCACCGGCUAACUUCGUG